Molecule: non-coding RNA, 4198 nt
Organism: Physcomitrium patens
Lineage: Eukaryota; Viridiplantae; Streptophyta; Bryopsida; Funariales; Funariaceae
Source: RefSeq, a predicted model, not a curated record
ACACACUCGCCUGGCAGGCCCACACCUUGAGAAACGAUGCUUCGCCCGCACUUCGGAUGGAGGGGCGGACGGAGGGGGGAGCAUUGUGCAUUUUACCACCACUCUGCGAAUCAACACAUGUGCAUAAUUCUCUGGUGCUUCAUAUCCUUGAGACCCACCUUCCGGUUGCGGGAUUCAGCUGCAUCUGGUGAUGACUAGGGGUAGGGGGCAUCUUCACUCUAAGGCAGCUCUACGUUUGUGUGUGACGCGUAGGAAUUCAACGCAGAUUUUGAUAUGAGCAGUCCUCACACGCUUUCCCCUCAAAGGUUCUCGACUAUUCCUAGUCUGGGUAUCCAGGGUGGUUUCGCUUUCUGACCUUGACGUCGUGUGGGAGUGCGGUUAUUAUGUCCAACCCUUAAGAAGUGGAGUCCAAACCUUGGAACCGUUGUUUUGGGUUUUAGUCCAUCAUGAAGCUGCAGGGGAUUCUUGCAACUCUGUACUGGCGAUGUGGGUUUGAAUCUUGGAAACAGGGAAUUGUACUCAUUUGUUGAAGCCGGAGGGGGAGAUUGUUCCUGAAGAUGGAAUCGAUCCUGGAAUUUUAGGUGUGCGAGAUCUGCUUGUGGAAGCUGAUGUUUGCUUUGGGGACGUGAAACGGAUGUGUCGUAGCUAGAGCUUAGGGCAUGAUCAGGGGUGCUCGACAUUCUGUCUUUGCGUACUUAGAGAUAAGUAAAUUUUGGCCACCGGACGAUGGAUAUCAUACAGGCAGUCACCCAGUUUGUGGGAAUCUUUCAAGCAGGUUCUGAAAUCUUUGCGAUAGGCUCCUAGAUGUAGACUUCUCUGAAAACAUUCGUGCUUGUUUGGGCACGAGUGUGUUGGCUUGCGUCCUUUUCACUCCAGCUUGAAGUUUUUCACCACGGUCAUCGAUUUUUUUAGAUACAGAAAUAAGAAUAGGGCGGUUAUGCUCUGAGCUUUUUGCAGGGUUUCGUUCUCCUGGGCUACGGGCUGCGGUCUCCAGUAGCUCGAGAUUCCUGAGUGCUGUUGCUUGUUGAGUAGAGGUAAUCUUAAAUAUCGAUUUUCAAAUAUGAGUUUCUGGGUUCCUUGUGGCAAGCUUGAUGCUCUGCCUUUUAGUUUGUAGGGUGGAUUGCAGCGACGUGCAGGGCAGGCACCAUGCUUUCGGUGGUGUCCGGGGGGCAUAUGGGUUUCGCCUUCAUGGGGAACAUAUUGAAGGCUUUUCGUUUUAUAACAGAACUGAAGCCGAGCCUGACAUGGACGUCCGAAACUGACUGCCGAACACCACAGGAAUGCCUGAAGCGCAUCCUAUCAUGCAUUAUCAGCAUUGAGCGCUGCAAGGGCUCAUUGCACUUCAACCAUGUUCUCUGCGAGACUUUUAUGGGCAACUAUUUACUUCGUGCUAGGGAUUUGCUAGAGGGUCGAAAAGACGAAAUUGAAACCUACGGUGAGCAAUGUUUCAAUGAAUUAACAGCACUCCAUCACACGGUGAAGGAGGCUGAGUUUUUUAUUCACAAACAUUGCAUGGAUGCCAACUGGAUCAAGGCCGCUGUGGAGCUCGUGGAGAACACUUCCGCCUUUGCGGAGAUCAUCCUUGAUCUAAAUUGGUACAUGAAUGCACUGGGUAUUGCUAUUGAGGUUGCAACCGGCACAGCGUCAUGGGAGUCGACACGGCAUAAAGUAUGGGACCUUCAAAAUCGAGCCAUGACCGAGUAUGUCAAAUUACAUGACAGUUGGGAAGAGCAUUGCAAGGAGCUGAGUUUGCUCAAGGAUCGGAGGGUGCUGCUCACGAAACUAAAUUGUGAUCAUGCUAGAGACGUUCGAUGUCUGAGCACCUAUUUGGCUCGCAAACUAGCACAUCCAGAUCUGUCUGUUCACGCCAGGGCGCCCUUGCACGUAAACCUAAGGUCAUCGGAGUUGCUGCGGAACAGCGUUUUUCUGGGAGGCGGAGCUUACGGCACAGUGGAUAAGGUGCAGUGGCUUGGCAUGCUGUGUGCUGUGAAACAGAUCCCGAACAAAACCGAUGUAGACGAAGAGGUUAGGAUUUUAUCGAAGCUGCACCAUCCCAACAUUAUUCAGCUUUACGGGUACUUCAUAGAGGAACGCACUUUGUAUCUCAUCAUGGAACUAAUGGAAUCAAAUUUAUGUACGCAUGUAAUGGGAAAUCAAUGGAGAGAAGUUCGGAUGUCCCCCCAUUUUCUACAUGCAGCGUUUGAUUGCAUGCUUCAAAUAGCGAAGGGGAUGCGGUAUUUACACAGCAAGGGGAUGGCACAUCGGGAUUUGAAGGGUUUAAAUGUGCUCGUGAAGCCGAGCGAGAAUCGUGAGCUUCAGAGCAAAGGCUACUUGACUGUGAAGUUGACAGACUUCGGAAUGGCCAAGGCUAAUCUUCAACACUCGACGUACACAGCUCAGUCGAUGAAUGUGGGGACUCCUGCGUGGAAAGCUCCCGAGCUCUUCAAGUGGUACUCAUCCGAUUCCCCAAAGCACAAUCUUCCUAGGGAGCGCAAGUAUUACCCUUUCAAAGCUGACGUAUACAGCUUCGGUAUGGUCUGCUACGAAAUUUUGUGCGGGAGUAUACCGUUCUCGAAUGAGACGUUGACGCCGCGCAGUGUAUUCUACGCUAAGGUCAAGGGUGGGAUUAGACCGGAGCUGCCGGAAGAGUCUUUGAAGGUAGUUCCUGGACUCUCCGACUACAUUAAGCUUUGCUGGGAUACUGAUCCUUGCAGACGUCCGGACUUUGUCAACAUAUGCAAACGAAUUCGUCAUUUCCGAGAUUAUUUGUUGAAGGUUGAUGCGUACUCUGGUUGGGAGCGUAAAGCUCUCGGAAGCGAGAGGAUAGUCGAGGAGCUUAUAACCAUAGACGACGAUGAAUUAAUAGAUGCAGAUGAAUGGGACUGGGAAAUAGACUACAAGGACGUUGUUCGUGUUGGAGAAGCCCUACGUGCAAGCAGCGGAUUUUCGUCGGUAUGGAUAGCCCAGUGGAAAAAAACCUCUGAGAAAGUCCUGGUCAAGUUUAUUGAGCCUACUCUGAUUGACAACGAGGAGAGCAUUGCAAAUUUUAAGCGCGAGGUGGAGCUUCUCGUGAGGUUGCGGCACCCAAAUCUUGUACAUUAUCUUGGGGCAACUAAACAGGCGCAAUUUGUAGUACUCACUCAACUUGCUCCAGGAGUGAUGCUCCGUAAUUUCCUCAACAAGAAACCCACGGUGUCGCCUUCAGAUGCAGUGAGUAUUGCGCUCCAAGUUGCCCUUGGAAUAGCGUCCUUGCACGGAGAGCAGGUUUUGGUGGUGCAUGGUGAGCUCUCCCCUGAUUGCAUCGUAAUUGAUGAGCAGACCAUGACUGUAAGGGUUGCUGAUUUUGGCAUGCAACGCUUUAGGCUUCCUCCGCAGAAGCACUGUCAACCUCGCUGGUACCGAAGGGCUCCUGAGCAGCGCCAGGGCCUCUCCUUACACCCAAGCUGCGACGUCUUCUCCUUCGGAAUGAUUGUCUACGAGCUGCUGGAGCACGAGAAAGCCCAAGCCUUCUGGAAGCACAAAAAAGCCUCAAAAAUGGUUCUGAUGGGGCAUAGGCCUCCACUACAAUCUGCUUCACGUUAUCCGAGAGGUAUGAAGACAUUGAUUGAGAAGUGCUGGGCACAUAAGUGGGAAGAUCGGCCUAAUUUUGAAGCAAUCGUUUCAGCAUUGCAGAAAACGGUCACCCAUCAAAAUCGGCUCUCUUCAUCCAGCUGCAGCAGCAGUUCUAGAAGGGGAUAGAUCAGGAACAUAGAGCAUUCCCUCAUGAUGGGUUCACUGUUCGGUGCUUGCAGCUGGUAACAUCGAGAACCUCACAACCCAUGAACUGGAGAUUCCGACAUUCAUUGUUUUUGUGAUCUACAGUGCUUCGCAGCACAGAUACCUCUGGGUCACACAUAUUGGAACCUUCAAGGCGGUAGCGUCUUGUUGGAACUUCUCAAUCUCGCUGCUACCAAGGUCAGCAUUAGUUUCAGCAUGCGGAGGUAAUGUCGCCUGCACUUCACUCACCUCUCCAGCACUCAAGCGUCUGAAUACCUUCAAAGCUUACGUUUAUUAAUAAGAUGACCUUCAUUCUCAGAGUGUAGCUUUAUUCGGAGCCAGAUUGGUAGUUUUGAAUCACUUGCGUUUACCAUGCUGCAGUAUGCUUUCUAAAUAUUAAUGACAUUCAGAUCAGAGAUAAAUUGGUUUUUUUUUCUUAGCA